UCCAGACUCCUACGGGAGGCAGCAGUGGGGAAUAUUGGGCAAUGGGCGCAAGCCUGACCCAGCGACGCCGCGUGAGGGAAGACGGUCUUCGGAUUGUAAACCUCUUUCAGCAGGGAAGACAAAAGGACGGUACCUGCAGAAGAAGCCACGGCUAACUACGUGCCAGCAGCCGCGGUAAUACGGAGGAUCCGAGCGUUAUCCGGAUUCAUUGGGUUUAAAGGGUGCGUAGGUUGUUUUAUAAGUUAGCGGUGAAAUACCGAUGCUCAACAUCGGGGCUGCCGCUAAUACUGUAGGACUAGAGAUCGGAUGCAGCAGGCGGAAUGUGUAGUGUAGCGGUGAAAUGCAUAGAUAUUACACAGAACACCGAUUGCGAAGGCAGCUUGCUAGGCCGGAUCUGACACUGAUGCACGAAAGCGUGGGGAUCGAACAGGAUUAGAUCCCCCGGUA
RNAcentral lists this ribosomal RNA (447 nucleotides) under uncultured bacterium. Its description in RNAcentral is "bacterial SSU rRNA". It matches the Rfam family "Bacterial small subunit ribosomal RNA", at positions 330 to 792 of the family's 1533-position model. The record is from RNAcentral.